This 546-nucleotide ribosomal RNA is filed under the name Triticum aestivum (bread wheat). RNAcentral describes it as "partial small subunit ribosomal RNA". The record is from RNAcentral. Lineage: Eukaryota; Viridiplantae; Streptophyta; Magnoliopsida; Poales; Poaceae.
AUGGCAAUAGUUCAAUACACAUUUGACAAGAUAAAUGCGUACUUUCUAAAGUACUCAAUGGAAACGGAUGCAUAGAUAGCGGGUGAGAACAAGCACAAGUACAAGUUCCCACCCAAGAUUGAUGAAUGGUUGGAAUUUCAAUAACGGAAGGUGGACUCACAAGAAGCUGUACUAUAUGACAACGAAGGUUGGUCGUACGAAGUGAAAGAGCCAGGAGGAACCAGAAAUGAUGGCCGCCAACAUGGAGGUCGGGAUUUCAAGGUAUCGCUAACACGGUGUGAUUGCUCUUGCGGGAGGCCAUUGUUGCUUCAUCUCCCAUGCUCACACUUGUAUACCGCCGGUCCUGUUAGGAAUGUUGACGUCAAUUACCCCCUCACCAUGAGGGAGUCGGAGUUCUCAAUCAUGAAGGUCAAGAAUACAUGGGCUCCCCGCUUUCACUCAUACUUUGACCAAUCACAAUGGACGGAGUACCAUGGACUUCAACUAUGGCCGGAUUCGGAGUUGAAGGUUGUUAAAUGGGGUAGACGUAAGACAAAGUGUCUUUAA